GCCAGGCCUCUAGUCCCAGCUACUUGGGAGGCUGAGACAGGAGGAUCUCUUGGGCCCAGGAGUUCUAAGCACUAUGCUGAUGGGGUGUCUGCACUAAGCUCGGCAUGAUGACCUCCUCCAAGCAGGGGACCACCAGGUUGCCUAAGGAGGGAUGAACUGCCCCAGGUCAGAAACAGAGCUGAUCAGUAGUGGGAUCACACCUGUGAACAGCCACUGCUCUCCAGCAUGGGCAGCACAGCAAGACCCUGUCUCU
Unclassified non-coding RNA from Homo sapiens (human), 253 nucleotides. The record is from Ensembl. Lineage: Eukaryota; Metazoa; Chordata; Mammalia; Primates; Hominidae.